This 435-nucleotide ribosomal RNA is filed under the name Triticum aestivum (bread wheat). RNAcentral's name for it is "partial small subunit ribosomal RNA". Lineage: Eukaryota; Viridiplantae; Streptophyta; Magnoliopsida; Poales; Poaceae. The record is from RNAcentral.
AUGAGGGCGCUAUUCUGGAACAUUAGGGGGUUCGGUGCUAGGGGGCGCCGUGACCAACUUAAAGAUCUGGUUCGAUCUAACUCGAUUGAUUUUAUGGGGCUGGUAGAAACUUUCAAGGAAUCCUUCUCCCCUAGUGAACUGUCGGCUAUUGUGGGUAUGGACAAAUUCUACUGGAACUUUUUACCUGCUGUGGGGCACUCGGGCGGGUUUUUGAUAGGGGCCAACAAAGAUAUUUUUGAUUUUGUUGCUUUUGAUCAUGGGAUAUUUUGGGCCAGCGUUGUUCUCUCCCUUAAAGCUCAGAACACUCUUUGUGAGUUUAUCGUCGUCUAUGGCCCUGCGGAUCACUCCCUGUCUCCUUUAUUCCUUAACGAGCUGUCGCUGAAGAUCGAUGCCUGUACCUUACCGAUGGUUAUCGGGGGAGACUUUAAUCUGCUA